AUGUCCACCACCGCCGCCGUGAGGUGCGCCUUCGCGGCGCCUGCCCGUGGAGCAGCACCUACCGUUACUGCCCCCACGGCCUGCCGCACCUCCACCAUGCACAGCUGCUUGACCACGGUCUCCACCCCGGCCUGCUCGCCACUCCAACCUUAUCUCCUCACACGCGCUCAGGGACGCGCUGAUCGACCCAUGCUACAGGAACGGGUCGGGUUCUUGGACGCCAGCAAGGUGUUCGAGGAAAUGCCGAGACGGGACAUCGUGUCCUGGAGCACGGCCAUGGCUGCGAUGGUGCGACAGGGGGAGGUGGCCAAUGCGAGGUGGAUGUCUGAAGAGAUGCCAGAGAAGGAGGCGGUAAGCUGGGACAUCUAUGCUGAGGCUGGGCAGUGA
This 387-nucleotide ribosomal RNA is filed under the name Triticum aestivum (bread wheat). Its description in RNAcentral is "partial small subunit ribosomal RNA". Lineage: Eukaryota; Viridiplantae; Streptophyta; Magnoliopsida; Poales; Poaceae. The record is from RNAcentral.